RNAcentral lists this ribosomal RNA (493 nucleotides) under Flavobacterium sp. A14. Its description in RNAcentral is "bacterial SSU rRNA". It matches the Rfam family "Bacterial small subunit ribosomal RNA", at positions 1 to 498 of the family's 1533-position model. The record is from RNAcentral. Lineage: Bacteria; Pseudomonadati; Bacteroidota; Flavobacteriia; Flavobacteriales; Flavobacteriaceae.
CAACANAGUUUGAUCCUGGCUCAGGAUGAACGCUAGCGGGAGGCCUAACACAUGCAAGCUGAGCGGUAGAGAUCUUUCGGGAUCUUGAGAGCGGCGUACGGGUGCGGAACACGUGUGCAACCUGCCUUUAUCAGGGGGAUAGCCUUUCGAAAGGAAGAUUAAUACUCCAUAAUAUAAUAGAUGGCAUCAUUUAUUAUUGAAAACUGAGGUGGAUAGAGAUGGGCACGCGCAAGAUUAGAUAGUUGGUGAGGUAACGGCUCACCAAGUCGAUGAUCUUUAGGGGGCCUGAGAGGGUGAUCCCCCACACUGGUACUGAGACACGGACCAGACUCCUACGGGAGGCAGCAGUGAGGAAUAUUGGACAAUGGGUUAGCGCCUGAUCCAGCCAUCCCGCGUGAAGGACGACGGCCCUAUGGGUUGUAAACUUCUUUUGUACAGGGAUAAACCUAUCUACGUGUAGAUAGCUGAAGGUACUGUACGAAUAAGCCCGGCU